UUGCCAGACAACCCUCUACAUUUCUCACGGUUGACCUCGGAUCAGGUAGGGAUACCCGCUGAACUUAAGCAUAUCAAUAAGCGGAG
Molecule: ribosomal RNA, 86 nt
Filed under: Arthrographis sp. Sl-2007a
Lineage: Eukaryota; Fungi; Ascomycota; Dothideomycetes; Eremomycetales; Eremomycetaceae
Description: partial 28S ribosomal RNA
Source: RNAcentral